UUUAAUUCGAUGCAACGCGAAGAACCUUUACCUGGGCUUGACAUCCGAGAAUCUUCUGGAAACAGGAGAGUGCCCUUGGGGAACUCGGUGACAGGUUGCUGCAUGGCUGUCGUCAGCUCGUGUCGUGAGAUGUUGGUUAAGUCCCGCAACGAGCGCAACCCUUAUCCCCAGUUUGCCAUCAGGUAAAGCUGGGAACUCUGGGGAGACUGCCGGUGAUUAAACCGGAGGAAGCGGGAUGACGUCAAGUCCUCAUGGCCCUUACAUCCCGGGCUACACACGUGCUACAAUGGCAGGUACAGAGGGCUGCAAAGCCGCGAGGUAGAGCGAAUCCCAGAAAACCUGUCUCAGUCCGGAUUGAAGUCUGCAACUCGACUUCAUGAAGGCGGAAUCGCUAGUAAUCGCAGAUCAGCACGCUGCGGUGAAUACGUUCCCGGGCCUU
RNAcentral lists this ribosomal RNA (439 nucleotides) under uncultured Latescibacterota bacterium. RNAcentral's name for it is "bacterial SSU rRNA". It matches the Rfam family "Bacterial small subunit ribosomal RNA", at positions 945 to 1382 of the family's 1533-position model. The record is from RNAcentral. Lineage: Bacteria; Pseudomonadati; Candidatus Latescibacterota.